RNAcentral lists this ribosomal RNA (435 nucleotides) under uncultured bacterium. RNAcentral's name for it is "partial 16S ribosomal RNA". It matches the Rfam family "Bacterial small subunit ribosomal RNA", at positions 28 to 507 of the family's 1533-position model. The record is from RNAcentral.
GAUGAACGCUGGCGGUAUGCUUAACACAUGCAAGUCGAACGGACUCUUCGGAGUUAGUGGCGGACGGGUGAGUAACGCGUGAGAAUCUGGCUUUGGGUUCGGGACAACCACUGGAAACGGUGGCUAAUACCGGAUGUGCCGUGAGGUAAAAGAGAAAGUGCCUGAAGAUGAGCUCGCGUCUGAUUAGCUAGUUGGUGAGGUAAAGGCUCACCAAGGCAGCGAUCAGUAGCUGGUGUGAGAGGAUGACCAGCCACACUGGGACUGAGACACGGCCCAGACUCCUACGGGAGGCAGCAGGGGAGAAUUGUCCGAAAUGGGCGAAAGCCUGACGGAGCAAUACCGCGUGAGAGAAGAAGGCUCUUGGGUUGUAAAGCUCUUUUCUUAGGGAAGAACAAAAUGACGGUACCUAAGGAAUCAGCAUCGGCUAACUCCGUG